This 504-nucleotide long non-coding RNA is filed under the name Capra hircus (goat). Its description in RNAcentral is "lncRNA (ENSCHIG00000002122.1)". The record is from RNAcentral. Lineage: Eukaryota; Metazoa; Chordata; Mammalia; Artiodactyla; Bovidae.
CUUUGGCUGGGUCUGUCCACCUCUGUUCAGAGACGAUGACCCUCACUUUCUAUUCUGUUUUAGAAGGUACUUUCCGUUCUGUCCUAGAACGUAUUGUCCACUCUCUGCUGUCUAAGUGCCGUAAAUCUCCAGCUGAUAAGGUCCUGGUGCCGUGUUCCCUGCUCUCAGGGAGCACCAAGCUCUUCCUGGGAGCCGUGUGGGCCACCAGUGUCCUCUUCCUACUGCUGCAGGGUGCCCUACGGGUUGCUUUUGUCUCCCUGGGACCUGAAGCAUGCUUCUGGGGCCAUUUCUGACUUCCUGUCUGGGAUGGCAUCCACGGGGAUAACACUUGGCUUCUGGAACCCCAUCACUUCCCAGGUGAUUCCCCACCCUUCUCCUCAGGAUUCAGUCUGGAGGUGCCCCUGACUGCCCCCACUUCAGACCCCUCCCGACUAGCCCUCCUGGGUCCCCUUCUGGCCCUGGGUGAUGCUUGAGUCUGUGCUCGACUGGCAGCAAGAACCAGCC